CCAAGGCUUUCCUGACCGAGUUUCCCUGACCUUGGGCUCUCCCCUCUCCAUGAAGCUUUUGUACAAGGAUUGUUUCAGCAUGAAACAAUUGAGCCCAUUGCCUUUGCCCUGGGUCUUGUGUUUCCUGUGGAAGCCAUCUAAACUCAGUGUGCUCAGCUUUGCUUCUCCUCCCAGUACAAAGCCCUCCCAGCAAGCCGGACUGGUAUGCUCCCUGAUUCGCGUGUCCACCAGCUCCACUCCAGCGUGUACUUUCUACCUUCCUGUUAAUGCAGAGUGCCGAUCCUGUCCUUUGAACAAUCCACCUUGGGAGGUACCUUGGAUUAACUAGAGCCCAACUCUCCCUUUCUAGAUGAUGGGAAGACAUACAGAGUAAAGAACCUGCUCUGAAUUCCAUUACACAAUGAGAUGAUCUUCAGCUUCUCCAACCAACCUGAAGCCCGUGUCCUCUGGCGUCUGGUACUCAGAUAUCACGAAGCACGCCAUUGGACUAAGAUGGUGGUUUCGCAUAGUGCCAAGCACCUAACAGGCAUCACUAUAUACUUGCUGAUGUGUGAAUUCUGUUUUACUCCAGUGAUUCAGCUCUGCCAGGCCUUUGUUUCACUUACCUGCCUCCUGAAACUCUGCAAGACUUGGUAGAAAAUGAAUCAUCAAUUUGACUUGUUGUUUCUUCAAAACUUUGACUGUGACCUUGAAACUGUGGUUCUGAAAACAAGUGAAUCUUUGAAAAAGUAAACAGAAACACAUAAAAUUAUUUUCCUAAACACAUUAACUAAUUUAGCCUUUGAAAUGAUGACCUAAACAUGACCUGCUGACUUUUGUUACAGUAAACUGGUACGAAUUUUAGAAAUCCUUUAAUUUUCCAUGUCUACAUUCAUGAUCAAUUAGAAACAUGUUAGCUGCGCCAUUCGUGACUAUUUAUUUAAUUCAGAGACAUCAAAGUAAAAUGCAACAACAAAGGUAACUUUCUAUAGAACACCCUGUUGUGAAGCUGUGAGGUAUUUUAAAGCUUUAUUGUGGUCAGAAAUCAUUGUUCAUCAGUUCUGACAUUAACGACAAACAGUAUUUUGGAAAGACAUAGUGUAGUUUCCUUCCUUCUCAAUGGAAGACACUUGCUGACUUAUCGGAAUCCUGUGAAUGCCAAUAAAGGAGGCUAUAGUGGUGUUUGUUCCUCUAUAAUUAUGGCUCUGUGAACACUUCCAUUAAAAGGCCGAAAUAACAAAUGUACACCCCAGUUGAUGUUAAGAAUCAGCAUUCAGAAAGCUUGAGUGAGACCAUAAAAAAUGUCUAGUGUCGACACAGCAAAUAUGAAAAUUCAUUUUACCAUCACAAUAACUAGAUGC
This 1340-nucleotide long non-coding RNA is filed under the name Homo sapiens (human). RNAcentral's name for it is "HSALNT0110998". Lineage: Eukaryota; Metazoa; Chordata; Mammalia; Primates; Hominidae. The record is from RNAcentral.